RNAcentral lists this unclassified non-coding RNA (1028 nucleotides) under Neodiprion pinetum (white pine sawfly). RNAcentral describes it as "carbohydrate sulfotransferase 5-like". The record is from RNAcentral. Lineage: Eukaryota; Metazoa; Arthropoda; Insecta; Hymenoptera; Diprionidae.
UUGCAAGAUCAUCGAUUGGUCGAUUUUGGGUAGCCCUGCAACCAAUGACACUUCGGUGCUAAUAGAACACUAGCGACGCUAGUGGUACAAAAAAAAAACAUAAUGUACACGAUUCUGCGACAAGUUUAGUCAAUUCACCCAUUAAGUUCGUGCUCCUUGUUUGCUCCUUAUACAGUCUUCAUGAAAUUAUCAGUGGAAAUUGUAUGGUCAGUUAUGGUUGGCUAUGGCACUGCUGUAAGUUCGUGCAUGGAUUUGUGUAACAUUUUGUAUUUUUCAUUACUGUCAUCUGCUGAGUGGAAAUGAAUCUAUCCGAGGAAAUAAAACACUGGUAAACGGCUGCAAAGAUGUUUUCACUAACGGAAUCGAUUAAACAUAUCCAAAUAACAUUCCGUGUCAAUGCAUAAUGGAAGACUCCAAGCUACCUUGAGGUUGGAUUAGACGCUGAAGGAAAUCAGAGAAACAAUUGCUGCAAUUAGCACGACUCUUAAACACUUCUUCCCGAAAUAAUCUAACUUGGCUUUUUGGGGAUCACCACAUUUGGCUGCACGCAGUGUACUCUUUACUUUAUAAUUACCACCAUUAUUCUGCAUUCAUGCAUGUGCAUUUUACACAUUAGUAUUAAUUUAGUGCCAAACACCGUACUAUUUCUUAAUUAAAUUUACAUUGAAACUUCUUAAAAAUUUAUUGAUAGUUCAUACGACUUUAUUCGCGAAAAGAUCGAUUUAAAAUUGGAUAAUUAUUGUUUCAAUACCCAAUACCGUACCUAGAACAUUCGGAAAAUGUAAAAUUACAUUACACAAUACAUAAGAGAAGGAUUAAAUUGUAUAGAAAAUAGUUACAUAGAGUUGUUACUUGAUUCUAUACCCAUAUCAAUAAACGCUAGACAAGUUUUCAUAACAAUACUACAGAACACUACAUGUUAUUUUUCACUUUUAAACAAAUAAACUGAUAUAUGCAAUAGACCACUACUUCUCGUUUCUCUUUUAUACCUUAAAUUCCCUAGCUUACUUUAUGCAUUUACUUAGGCA